RNAcentral lists this long non-coding RNA (331 nucleotides) under Nicotiana benthamiana. RNAcentral's name for it is "long non-coding RNA (NBEN_LNC031598)". Lineage: Eukaryota; Viridiplantae; Streptophyta; Magnoliopsida; Solanales; Solanaceae. The record is from RNAcentral.
AAGUCCAGAUGGGUAUCACCAAAAAUAGUUGAUAAGAGCUGUAGUCGGGUUCUUACUAUCUCUAGUUUGAACUCUUUAAUUAGGCUAAUCAGUAUCUCAAUUAACUCAAUUCCUUGUUAGCUAAGUUAUCCUAGAUUAGGUUCUUCUUUCUCAAGUAGAGACAGGGUCAAAUAGGCAUAAAUUAAUGUUUGCAACCGUUAAUUCUAAAAUUAAAGUAUGAACUAAUCUAAAUUAUCAAUAUUGGGUCAAAUAGGCAUGAAUCAAUGUUUGCAACCGUUAAUUCUAAAAUUAAAGUAUGAACUAAUCUAAAUUAUCAAUAUCGAACCAUAAA